This 253-nucleotide ribosomal RNA is filed under the name uncultured bacterium. RNAcentral describes it as "partial 16S ribosomal RNA". It matches the Rfam family "Bacterial small subunit ribosomal RNA", at positions 524 to 776 of the family's 1533-position model. The record is from RNAcentral.
UACAGAGGUCUCAAGCGUUGUUCGGAUUCAUUGGGCGUAAAGGGUGCGUAGGCGGCUUUCUAAGUCAGGGGUGAAAUCCUGGAGCUCAACUCCAGAACUGCCUUUGAUACUGGAGGGCUUGAGUCCGGAAGAGGUGAGUGGAACUCCGAGUGUAGAGGUGAAAUUCGUAGAUAUUCGGAAGAACACCAGUGGCGAAGGCGGCUCACUGGUCCGGUACUGACGCUGAUGUGCGAAAGCGUGGGGAGCAAACAGG